GAUGAACGCUGGCGGCGUGCCUAAUACAUGCAAGUCGAGCGAACGGACGAGAAGCUUGCUUCUCUGAUGUUAGCGGCGGAAGGGUGAGUAACACGUGGAUAACCUACCUAUAAGACUGGGAUAACUUCGGGAAACCGUAGCUAAUACCGGAUAAUAUUUUGAACCGCAUGGUUCAAAAGUGAAAGACGGUCUUGCUGUCACUUCUAGAUGGAUCCGCGCUGCAUUAGCUAGUUGGUAAGGUAACGGCUUACCAAGGCAACGAUGCAUAGCCGACCGGAGAGGGUGAUCGGCCACACUGGAACUGAGACACGGUCCAGACUCCUACGGGAGGCAGCAGUAGGGAAUCUUCCGCAAUGGGCGAAAGCCUGACGGAGCAACGCCGCGUGAGUGAUGAAGGUCUUCGGAUCGUAAAACUCUGUUAUUAGGGAAGAACAUAUGUGUAAGUAACUGUGCACAUCUUGACGGUACCUAAUCAGAAAGCCACGGCUAACUACGUG
Molecule: ribosomal RNA, 497 nt
Filed under: uncultured bacterium
Lineage: Bacteria
Description: partial 16S ribosomal RNA
Rfam family: Bacterial small subunit ribosomal RNA
Source: RNAcentral